This 461-nucleotide ribosomal RNA is filed under the name uncultured bacterium. RNAcentral's name for it is "partial 16S ribosomal RNA". It matches the Rfam family "Bacterial small subunit ribosomal RNA", at positions 338 to 795 of the family's 1533-position model. The record is from RNAcentral.
UCUACGGGUGGCAGCAGUGAGGAAUAUUGGUCAAUGGGCGAGAGCCUGAACCAGCCAAGUCGCGUGAAGGAUGACGGCCCUACGGGUUGUAAACUUCUUUUGUCAGGGAGCAAUUGGGUCCACGCGUGGGCUUAGCGAGAGUACCUGAAGAAAAAGCAUCGGCUAACUCCGUGCCAGCAGCCGCGGUAAUACGGAGGAUGCAAGCGUUAUCCGGAUUUACUGGGUGUAAAGGGAGCGUAGACGGCGAUGCAAGUCUGACGUGAACGGCGGGGGCCCAACCCCCGGACUGCUUUGGAAACUGUAUGGCUGGAGUGCAGGAGAGGUAAGUGGAAUUCCUAGUGUAGCGGUGAAAUGCGUAGAUAUUAGGAGGAACACCAGUGGCGAAGGCGACUUACUGGACUGUAACUGACGUUGAGGCUCGAAAGCGUGGGGAGCAAACAGGAUUAGAUACCCCGGUAGUC